AUAUCAAUAAGCGGAGGAAAAGAAACCAACAGGGAUUGCCCUAGUAACGGCGAGUGAAGCGGCAACAGCUCAAAUUUGAAAUCUGGCCUUCGGGUCCGAGUUGUAAUUUGUAGAGGAUGCUUUUGGUGCGGUGCCUUCCGAGUUCCUUGGAACAGGACGCCUUAGAGGGUGAGAGCCCCGUACGGUUGGACACCAAGCCUUUGUAAAGCUCCUUCGACGAGUCGAGUAGUUUGGGAAUGCUGCUCUAAAUGGGAGGUAAAUUUCUUCUAAAGCUAAAUACCGGCCAGAGACCGAUAGCGCACAAGUAGAGUGAUCGAAAGAUGAAAAGUACUUUGAAAAGAGGGUUAAAUAGCACGUGAAAUUGUUGAAAGGGAAGCGUUUAUGACCAGACCUUUGUCAGGCGGAUCAUCCGGUGUUCUUCACCGGUGCACUUCGCCUGGCUUAGGCCAGCAUCGAUUUCUGUAGGGGGACAAAGACCAUGGGAACGUAGCUCUCUUCGGGGAGUGUUAUAGCCCUAGGUGUAAUACCCUUACGGGGAUCGAGGUUCGCGCUUCUGCAAGGAUGCUGGCGUAAUGGUCAUCAAUGA
RNAcentral lists this ribosomal RNA (586 nucleotides) under Diatrype stigma. RNAcentral's name for it is "eukaryotic LSU rRNA". It matches the Rfam family "Eukaryotic large subunit ribosomal RNA", at positions 40 to 647 of the family's 3401-position model. The record is from RNAcentral. Lineage: Eukaryota; Fungi; Ascomycota; Sordariomycetes; Xylariales; Diatrypaceae.